This is an RNA transcript of Gossypium arboreum, 3380 nucleotides long. It is a transcript of the gene named protein ALTERED SEED GERMINATION 2-like, with no coding region annotated. The record is from RefSeq and is a predicted model, not a curated record. The transcript has 21 exons. NCBI's taxonomy places the organism in Eukaryota, Viridiplantae, Streptophyta, Magnoliopsida, Malvales, Malvaceae.
UUUCUUCAACCAAUCCAAACCAUUCAAUUAUGCUUUCAUCAAUUUGAUUCAAUAUAUAAUUCAAAAACUAUCUUCAGAAAAUCAAUAAUGCCGGAAGUUUCUACGGGCUUUCUAUAGAUUGGACCUUCCUUACUGGGCUACUUUGCCCAUUUAGUACCUACUCUCCUCCUCCCUUCUCUUAAACAAUGCUCCUCAUCACAACCCAACACCGUCUUUUUUUCUCCGAAAUUUUUAGAAUCUCUGCACAGUACGCACAGAGAUGCAAAGGAAGGGAAGAAACGCAUUUGUUUAUUUGCUUGCUUUUAUGCUUUAAUGUCUCCAAACGCAUUGCGUUGUCGUAAUUAAAACCAAAAACAAAAAAAAAAAAAGGCCCGUCUUAGCUUCAAAAGGACCAUGGGAAUUGUUUUCCGCAUAUGUUCAUCGCUGAUUACCAGCUUCGCUACCGAUCAAAGCUAGGGUUUUCUAAUAUCUUUCCAGUUUUCUUUGUUUUUCGAUAUUAAAACUGGAUGGAGCAGUGGCCGUUCCACGACGGCAACGUGCACAAUCUACUCGAGAACAGGCGCAUCGACAUUGGCCACGAUGUUGGUCGUAGUUUGCAGAUGCAUUCGUCUCUGAUUCGUAGGCUUUCAAUGGAACAAGAAUUGGAGGGACAUCAGGGCUGUGUAAAUGCUGUGGCUUGGAAUUCAAAUGGUUCACUUUUGAUUUCUGGUUCUGAUGAUGCACUGAUAAAUAUUUGGAGCUACUCUGGUCGAAAGCUUUUGCAUUCUAUAGAGACUGGUCAUUCUGCUAACAUAUUCUGUACAAAAUUCAUUCCUGAAACUUCUGAUGAGCUUGUAGCCUCUGGAGCUGGAGAUGCAGAGGUUCGAUUAUUUAACUUGUCCCGCUUAAAUGGCCGAGGUUUCAAUGAUGGUGCUAUUACUCCAUCAGCACUCUAUCAGUGUCACACAAGAAGAGUUAAAAAAUUGGCGGUUGAAGUUGGAAACCCCAAUAUGGUAUGGAGUGCAAGUGAGGAUGGAACUCUGAGACAGCAUGACUUUCGAGAGGGCACUUCUUGUCCUCCAGCUGGAUCUUCUCACCAAGAAUGUCGCAAUGUUCUACUUGACUUACGUUAUGGGGCAAAGAGGUCACUAGCUGAUCCUCCUAGACUUACUCUGGCCUUGAAAUCGUGUGAUAUCAGUUCUACUAGACCUCAUUUACUCCUUGUUGGUGGGAAUGAUGCAUUUGCUCGGCUAUAUGAUAGAAGGAUGCUGCCACCAUUGACCUCCUGCCGGAAAAGAAUGUUACCACCUACUUGUGUUAAUUAUUUCUGCCCAAUGCAUCUCUCUGACCGUGGACGUUCAAGUUUGCACUUAACUCAUGUUACCUUCAGCCCUAAUGGAGAAGAGGUUCUUCUUAGCUAUAGUGGGGAACAUGUAUAUCUAAUGGACGUAAAUCAUGCUAGUGGGAGUUCAAUGCAAUAUACCUCAGGAGAUGCUUCAAAAUUGAUGACCUUCACUCCUGUACUAAAUAAACUAGAGCACCGACCACCUCUUUCCGGUGUCUUCCAAAAUGGUCUCUGGAGUAGAGGCAAAACUACUGCUGGAAUUGAAAAAUGCAGGAUGUUGGUUGAAAUUGCUAAGAGAUCAUUAGACAACAGGACAAAUAUUUUUCAUGCAAUUGAGGCAUGCAAUGAAGUCUUGGAUGGACAUGGUAUUGAUAUUGGGCCCACACUCAGGCUUGAAUGCUUUUGUACACGUGCUGCCUUGUGGCUUAAGCGGAAGUGGAAAAACGAUGCCCAUAUGGCCAUUAGAGAUUGCCAUAAUGCUCGAAGAAUAGACAGUUCUUCCUUUAGAGCUCAUUAUUGUAUGGCGGAGGCUUUAGAACAGUUGGGAAAACAUAAAGAAGCAUUAGACUUUGCUGUUGCAGCACAAUGUUUAUCUCCAUAUGAUACUAUGGCCGCUGAGAAAGUGGAGAACAUUAAAAAACAUCUUGCUGCUGCUGAGGCUGAAAAAAGUAACAAGGCAAGUGAUGGAUCACAUAAGGGUGAACCUCGAACUGGAAGGGUAUUGUCAUUGAGUGACAUACUAUAUCGCUCAGAAGCUAACAGUGAUGCUUUACAAGAUGGUCCAAGAUCUGAAAGAGAAGACUCUGAUUUUGAUGAGGAGCUGGAAUUAGAUUUUGAAACUUCAAUAUCAGGUGAUGAAGGGCGUGAUGUUGAAUCCAACAUAUUACAUGGAAGUUUAAAUCUUAGAAUUCAACGAAGAGGUGAUUCAACUAGAGAAACUGGUGCAUGUGGAUCUCCUUCCUCGUCAUCACAAAAUGGAGUGGCUUACCAGCCCGAGGCAGUAGUUGAUAUGAAGCGGAGAUAUGCUGGGCACUGCAAUGUUGGAACUGACAUCAAGCAGGCGAGUUUCCUUGGUCAGAGAGGUGAAUUUGUUGCUAGCGGCAGUGAUGACGGAAGGUGGUUUAUUUGGGAGAAGCAGACUGGUAAAUUGAUAAAAAUGCUUCUUGGAGAUGACGCUGUUGUAAACUGUGUUCAGAGCCAUCCAUUUGAUUGCUUUGUGGCAACUAGUGGUAUUGACAACACAAUAAAGUUAUGGACUCCAACUGCUGCUGUCCCAUCAAUGGUUGCUGGUGGGUCAGCAGGGCCAGAAGCUGCGAAUGUGUUAGAAGCAAUGGAAAGUAAUCAACAGAAAUUAUGUCGUAAUCAUGAAGCUUUCUUGCCCUUUGAACUUUUGGAGCGAUUUCGGAUGCAUGACUUUUCUGAAGGAUCCUUGCAACCUUUUGAGUGUGCACAGACCUAGCCAGCUUUUUAGCUCUUAAGAAAGUAUGCAGAAUGACACUAGUUGAGGCACAAGAUUUAUUGACAUGGAAAUGGAUAUCUCAUCAAGAGAAGAGGAGUAGAUUGAGCUUUUGGGGGGAUUUAUCAUAAACAAAGUUUACAAAAAGUUUGAAUAAAAUAGUACAAGGAGCCUCCAUCAAUUAAUUGUAAGCCAGCUCUCAAUCAGUUUAAAUAAUGUUAGAUGUUCUUUUUCUCUUUUCUAGCAUAUAUUCCCCUCCAUUUUGUCUUAUCCCGAAGAACAAAACAUUGGAGUUGUAUGUAGAUUGUUGGAGAUGGUGAUGUAAAUAGUGAUCGAAUGUGGAUGGUUUGUGUCAGCCAUAUUGUUGUAAAUGUUGGUUCAGUCCGGAAAGGGUCUCUUCUUUACUGAAUUAUGAUGAUAGAUAUUCAUUCAGUCACCAUGACUUUUUCAACCAAAGAGAAUCAAUUUGUUGGAAAUGAUCAAACAGCGGAAGAGGUGGGGUAUCCCUUCAUAUGUAAAUAUAUGUAUGGUCACACUUUCUUGAAUUCGGGAUGGUCGUGUCACCAUAUUCAAUGGACAAGGUUGCUUGUGUUGUGUUUA